This is a non-coding RNA of Podarcis lilfordi (Lilford's wall lizard), 68 nucleotides long. The record is from the annotation of a GenBank genome assembly. NCBI's taxonomy places the organism in Eukaryota, Metazoa, Chordata, Lepidosauria, Squamata, Lacertidae.
CCGUGGUUCAGUGGCAGUGCAUCUGCUUGGCAUGCAGAAUUUCCCGGGUUCAAUCCCUGCCAUCUCGA